Molecule: small RNA, 126 nt
Filed under: Salmonella enterica
Lineage: Bacteria; Pseudomonadati; Pseudomonadota; Gammaproteobacteria; Enterobacterales; Enterobacteriaceae
Also listed under: 3 other names
Description: RtT sRNA
Rfam family: RtT RNA
About the family: This family represents a bacterial cis-regulatory element known as RtT RNA. The exact function of RtT is unknown although it is thought that it may be involved in changing the cellular response in relation to amino acid starvation.
Source: RNAcentral
UUGCUAUCUGCGAUAUGGAAGACCCGAACCUGCCGCAGGUUCGGGUCUCACGUAGUGAGACAACGGAGCCGCUUGCGGCGACGGCCCGAAGGGCGAGCGAAGCGAGUCAUCCUGCACGACCCACCA